CAGUUGGUAGAGCAGAGGACUGAAAAUCCUCGUGUC
Molecule: transfer RNA, 36 nt
Filed under: Pachylaena atriplicifolia
Lineage: Eukaryota; Viridiplantae; Streptophyta; Magnoliopsida; Asterales; Asteraceae
Description: partial tRNA-Phe
Source: RNAcentral